UACGUAGGGUGCAAGCGUUGUCCGGAAUUAUUGGGCGUAAAGAGCUCGUAGGCGGUCUGUCGCGUCGGCUGUGAAAUCCCGAGGCUCAACCUCGGGUCUGCAGUCGAUACGGGCAAACUGGAGUGUUACAGGGGAGACUGGAAUUCCUGGUGUAGCGGUGAAAUGCGCAGAUAUCAGGAGGAACACCGGUGGCGAAGGCGGGUCUCUGGGCAACAACUGACGCUGAGGAGCGAAAGCGUGGGGAGCGAACAGG
This 253-nucleotide ribosomal RNA is filed under the name uncultured bacterium. RNAcentral describes it as "partial 16S ribosomal RNA". It matches the Rfam family "Bacterial small subunit ribosomal RNA", at positions 524 to 776 of the family's 1533-position model. The record is from RNAcentral.